GACGAACGCUGGCGGCGUGCUUAACACAUGCAAGUCGAACGGAAAGGCCCUGCUUUUGUGGGGUGCUCGAGUGGCGAACGGGUGAGUAACACGUGAGUAACCUGCCCUUGACUUUGGGAUAACUUCAGGAAACUGGGGCUAAUACCGGAUAGGAGCUCCUGCUGCAUGGUGGGGGUUGGAAAGUUUCGGCGGUUGGGGAUGGACUCGCGGCUUAUCAGCUUGUUGGUGGGGUAGUGGCUUACCAAGGCUUUGACGGGUAGCCGGCCUGAGAGGGUGACCGGACACAUUGGGACUGAGAUACGGCCCAGACUCCUAUGGGAGGGAGGAGUGGGGAAUAUUGCACAAUGGGCGGAAGCAUGAUGCAGCAACGCCGCGUGCGGGAUGACGGCCUUCGGGUUGUAAACCGCUUUCGCCUGUGACGAAGCGUGAGUGACGGUAAUGGGUAAAGAAGCACCGGCUAACUACGUG
Molecule: ribosomal RNA, 468 nt
Filed under: uncultured bacterium
Lineage: Bacteria
Description: partial 16S ribosomal RNA
Rfam family: Bacterial small subunit ribosomal RNA
Source: RNAcentral